Molecule: ribosomal RNA, 371 nt
Filed under: uncultured organism
Description: partial 16S ribosomal RNA
Rfam family: Bacterial small subunit ribosomal RNA
Source: RNAcentral
GGAGGGUGCGAGCGUUAAUCGGAAUUACUGGGCGUAAAGCGCGCGUAGGCGGCGUGAUCAGUCGGGUGUGAAAGCCCUGGGCUUAACCUGGGAAUUGCACUCGAUACUGUCAGGCUAGAGUAUGGGAGAGGGAAGUGGAAUUUCCGGUGUAGCGGUGAAAUGCGUAGAUAUCGGAAGGAACACCAGUGGCGAAGGCGACUUCCUGGCCCAAUACUGACGCUCAGGUGCGAAAGCGUGGGUAGCGAACAGGGAUUAGAUACCCUGGUAGUCCACGCCGUAAACGAUGAGAACUAGAUGUCGGGAGGAUUUACCUCUCGGUGUCGCAGCUAACGCGUUAAGUUCUCCGCCUGGGGAGUACGCCGGCAACGGUA